Non-coding RNA from Potamilus streckersoni, 78 nucleotides. NCBI's taxonomy places the organism in Eukaryota, Metazoa, Mollusca, Bivalvia, Unionida, Unionidae. The record is from the annotation of a GenBank genome assembly.
GGGUAAGUGCGGUAACUCGUUUGGUAAAAAGUCGGACUUGUAAUCCAGUGGUCGCGGGUUUAAUACCCGCUCGACCCG